AUUGAACGCUGGCGGAAUGCUUUACACAUGCAAGUCGAACGGCAGCACGGGGCAACCUGGUGGCGAGUGGCGAACGGGUGAGUAAUACAUCGGAACGUGCCCAAUCGUGGGGGAUAACGUAGCGAAAGUUACGCUAAUACCGCAUACGAUCUACGGAUGAAGGCGGGGGAUCGCAAGACCUCGCGCGAAUGGAGCGGCCGAUGUCAGAUUAGGUAGUUGGUGGGGUAAAGGCUCACCAAGCCAACGAUCUGUAGCUGGUCUGAGAGGACGACCAGCCACACUGGAACUGAGACACGGUCCAGACUCCUACGGGAGGCAGCAGUGGGGAAUUUUGGACAAUGGGCGCAAGCCUGAUCCAGCCAUUCCGCGUGCAGGAUGAAGGCCUUCGGGUUGUAACUAGCUUUUGUACGGUAACGAAACGGUACUGCCCUAAUACGCGGGCGUAACUGACGGUACCGUAAGGAAUAAGACACC
This 474-nucleotide ribosomal RNA is filed under the name uncultured bacterium. RNAcentral describes it as "bacterial SSU rRNA". It matches the Rfam family "Bacterial small subunit ribosomal RNA", at positions 30 to 495 of the family's 1533-position model. The record is from RNAcentral.